This 4069-nucleotide long non-coding RNA is filed under the name Monomorium pharaonis (pharaoh ant). Its description in RNAcentral is "uncharacterized LOC105838427, transcript variant X1". The record is from RNAcentral. Lineage: Eukaryota; Metazoa; Arthropoda; Insecta; Hymenoptera; Formicidae.
UCUGCGGGGUGAUCGGCGCCGAGAGACGGGAAACGGAUUUUUCUCUAGGACGGUUGUUUUUCUCUCUUGUAAAUUUGGACUUUGGCAUCGGGAGAAAGACGAGGAGAGAAAGAGCAGUCUCAGAUACGCAUUCUUCUUUACUCGUUUCUCGUUUCGUUUGUCCUCAUUGUUGAGACUUCGGUCUCGAAAACCGAUUUCUGCUUACCCCCGCGGCCUCUCGAGUCCUCCCCGUAACAAACAGGGUAACAAGAUACAAGUACUCCGAAUCCUUCUAUUCCCAGCCUGUUCCCUUCGAGCAUUCUCUCUCUCUCUCUCUCUCUCUUUCUCUCUCCCCUUCCAGCGCCUUGCGCGAGCUCGUGCGAGCUUUUUUUCUUUGUUCCCUUUUGCCCGCUUCCUUUCAAGCCGUGUUCUCUUUUCUCGUCGGGUCAGGAUCGGCUUCCACUAGCUCGUCGAGCGAUUUAUUACCCGACCGCCCUACCACAAACACAGGACUGUUUAGCCCCGUUUUCUAUCUCGUAAAGGGUAGGACAGGGUGGGUAAGGGAACAAGAAGACGAGACGGAAAAAGAUUGGUAGAGAGAGGGGGAGGGGGAAGGGGCGCGAAAAAGGUAAAGCUACGCUUGGCGAGCAAAGUGAAUGGUGGUCGUGUACACGCGGCCGCAAAAGUGCCGACGAGCCAGUUUUUAUAUAUCAUUCGGGAGAAACACACAUGCCGAAACACACUCUUGAAAAAUUUAUACGCUCUUUUAAUUAAUCGUUAUUAACGUUUCCACGCGCGCGAGCUCUUCUGCAGGCCGCGCAUGCUCGCGCGCGAUCGCUCUAUCAUAAUUCCUUUUUUUUUUUUUUUUUAAUUAGGCAGUACACACGAGUAUCCGGGGAUAUCCGUGAAUUAAAAUAAUUUUAUAAUCGACGGCGCCAUUAGUGGAGCAUUGCGAGGUUAACGACCCCCUCCGAUCGCAUUAAUGCUCCGCGAAACGCGCGAUUUCGUUUGCGGCGGAGUGCGCGAGAGGUGAUAAAAUUUUUAAUAGCGAUGUAAUUGUACAUGCGAGCCACGAUUGAAACCGCCAGCGGAAGAGAGAGGCGGGAGGAAAAGGGGGCGAAAGGGGAUGAUUCGAUCUCGCGCGACGAUAUUUUAUAGGUCGUCGCUGAUCGCGCAUCGAUAACCGGCUUGUCGAUCGCGAACAAGGUGAGCGCAAUCGUUGAGUCGAGCGCGAUAAGAAUACGAUCGGCGAAGCCAUGCAAGGCGUAGCGGAGAGACACGGAGCGGAUUAAAACGCGUAGCGUGAAUGGAGACGUUUUUCUGUAAUGGAAGGCAGGCAGGCAAGCAGAGGCAGGCAAGCUGCGGGCCGUAAAGAGAGAAUUGAAGCGCGGCCGCGACGAUCGAGCACCUGCCUGCAGCGUGAGAGGAGGCCCACAAAGGGAGACAAGCCUCUGCCUGCCUGCCUGCCUGCCUGCCUGGAACUCGUGAAAAUAAUUCCUGCCUUUCAAGGCGCGCGCAGGUAUAAACCGAGGCGAGUAGUGCGUGUUGUCCCGCGCGCGUUCUCGCCUUACGCGGCCUUACGCUUCUCCCUCGUUGGCUUAAACGGGAUCAAGCAGGUGUCUAUUGUGGACGCAUUCGCGAAUCCUCGCCUCUCUAACGCACGAUAAUCUCUUUCUCUCUUUCUCCCUCUUCGGGUAAUUUAUCUAAAUGCGAGGAACGACGUCUCUCCUGGCUUUGCGAAGAAUUUUAAGAAGCUUAUGAUUUAUGUAUUUAUUAGUAGAGUUGCUACAAAACGUGCGCUAACGACGUCAAUUUUUCGACGACACUGUACACUCGAUUUUUUAAGUAGCCUGUAAAAUGUCCCAGCUGAACGAUGAACGGUGACGAGUUUUGCCAUAACGAGCCAUUUGCGAAUUAUCGCCCGUCGAGCACCAAAAUCGCUCUCGUAGAUUUUUUUUUUUUUUUUUUUUUAACCGGGGGCUGUCCAUUUGCACAUAAAAUAUUAAUAAUUUGCAUUACCUGUAUGCAAUGCAAACUACGUUUUACCUGUCAUCUAUAAACAAUAAUCCAUAGAUUCUGAAAAUUCCGAUUUUACUAAAAAUAGUGACAUUUUAUUUUUCUAUUUUUUUUUUGCAUAUAUUUUUAUUUCAUUAAUACUAAAGAUCGAAAAUAUAUAUUAACAAUCUUGUAACUUAAUUAUUUUUGUACCUGUAUCUAUAUUGUAUCCAAUUUAGAAUAGUUUACAUUACCUGUAUUGUUUGAACAAGAUUUGUGUAAACAUAACGAUAUGUAAACGAUUCGUGUAGACGUAAUCUUGAAAUUUACGGCACAAACCUGCUUUUAACCUUAACGAUGACUGAGCAAUUGGCCUGUAAUAGCGGACCUUUAUUAGACGUCGUUCAAGUCCGCUACGCUCUCGAGUCCGCGUCAUUAAAAAUACAUAUGGCCGCCGGCUUUAUCCGACUGGGUCGUUUACCGUUUUCGCCGUGCAUGUAUUAUCGAUCGCGCCGAAUUAAUAUGUGAUAUCGGCGUAUUAAUUUCUAAAGCGUCAACCGGCGCGCGAUAACGCACUGUGUCGAGUGUUUCCGUCGACGGUAAAUAACCGUUACACCAAACACGGCAAAUCUUUAUUGCAUAUAUGUAAUAAACAAUCUAAACAUCGUAAAACAUGCAUUCAACUCGCACACACCAAGGUAAUGUUGCCUAAUACAUUGGUCGACGUGUAUAUUUCGAUAUUUUGUUUCGCUCAAUAGUCUCUUUCUCUCUGAUUGCCGUGUGAACAAAAAAAUGUUUGGCAAUACUUUUUUUCAGGGUACUCGCAUCAACGACGGGGCGAUAAAGGUAAACAGUGCAUCGUCGAUCGUUUUAUGCGUUCCGCAAUUAUUUUACGCAACGGCGCCAUCGACGCGCGUACGGAACGAUUAUUAUUAUGCAGCACCUAUCGAUACGUCGCGAAAAUUUCGAGCACUACGGCCUAAUCUUGCAAGUAAAUAGCGUCUCUUCUACCGGUGACGCGAAAGAGAGAGAGAGAGAGAGAGAGAUGGGGGGAAAAGAGGGAGAGGACGUGAUUCAAAGCCCAGCGUGACAUAAAUAUUUGCCGACGAUAAUACUUCAUUCCCGCCUCCGGUUACCAGGCCCCGCGCUUCGCCGUACGUACUCACACGUAUGCGGGACACGUAGUAGUAUAAACAUCGUCUACGCCUGCAGGUGACUGUAACAGCACGAGAUAAUCAAUCCCCGAGUGCCGCCUGAACUCUAGCCUAUCCCCCUCCCCCUUCCUCUCCCUCUUUGCCUCACCACAAGCUCGAGCGCGUAAAUAUCUCGCGCAUUAAUGAGUCAUUAUCGCCGUGCCGUUAUAGCAUUUGUACGUGCUUGCGGGCAAUGCAUUACGUACUCGGGAAAUCUUUUCAUCACCAUGCCGCGAACUCGCACCGGCCGGGAGUUAAUCAGGGCGAAGGUUGAUAAGAAGCUACGAAGGAAGAGGAGAAGAACGUGAGGUGCGAAAGGAUAGCGACUAGACUCAUGAGCGCUGGCAAUAUAACGGAAUAUCUAUAUGUCGACAUGAAAAUUCAUAAAGACGUACGUAUAUCGAGAAUAUGAAAAAUUCAUUCCGACAGCAAUAUGGAUUGUGCGGCAGAUCUAUCAUUCGUGUCAGACUUCGUAUCAUUUCUCGCCGGCCGUCAUCAACUAUGACAUACUGAACUUUGGAGCAGUUACGACGUCGUUACGACCUUGUUACGACCAAGAACUGAGUAAAGUUCCUCCUGCGGAUAAUUUAAUGUAGAAAUGUUGUAUGGAUGCAGAAAUGUAACGUGUGUAAAAAACGAUGAAAAAAUAUAUAUAUUAAUAUAAUAUGUGUUGUAAGUAAAUAUAGACAAAGAGCAACAUGAUGAUCAAGUUUGUAUAAUUUUACAAUGUUACUUUUAAUACGCGGUCAGUUAUAAAAUGUUGCUAUUUAUUCAGUACAUUAAAAAAUUAUUUUAUAAAAUAGUUAAAUGUAAAGUGAGAAUUCUCUCUGUUCUUUUCAGUUGUGGUUGUUAAUCUAUGAUUAAACAUUAUCGAACUUUGGCAAUAAAGAUGAUAGAAAUAA